This 614-nucleotide ribosomal RNA is filed under the name uncultured fungus. RNAcentral describes it as "LSU rRNA". It matches the Rfam family "Eukaryotic large subunit ribosomal RNA", at positions 23 to 664 of the family's 3401-position model. Lineage: Eukaryota; Fungi. The record is from RNAcentral.
ACCCGCUGAACUUAAGCAUAUCGAUAAGCGGAGGAAAAGAAACCAACAGGGAUUGCCCCAGUAACGGCGAGUGAAGCGGCAACAGCUCAAAUUUGAAAUCUGGCUCCGGCCCGAGUUGUAAUUUGUAGAGGAUGCUUUUGGCGAGGUGCCUUCUGAGUUCCCUGGAACGGGACGCCAGAGAGGGUGAGAGCCCCGUAUAGUCGGACACCUAGCCUCUGUAAAGCUCCUUCGACGAGUCGAGUAGUUUGGGAAUGCUGCUCAAAAUGGGAGGUAUAUCUCUUCUAAAGCUAAAUAUAGGCCAGAGACCGAUAGCGCACAAGUAGAGUGAUCGAAAGAUGGAAAGCACUUUGAAAAGAGGGUUAAAUAGCACGUGAAAUUGUUGAAAGGGAAGCGCUUGUGACCAGACUUGUGCCGGGCUGAUCAUCCAGUGUUCUCACUGGUGCACUCGACCCGGCUCAGGCCAGCGUCGGUUCUCGUGGGGGGACAAAAGCGGCGGGAACGUGGCUCCUCCGGGAGUGUUAUAGCCCGCCGUUCAAUACCCUCGUGGGGACCGAGGUUCGCGCUCUGCAAGGACGCUGGCAUAAUGGUCAUCAGCGACCCGUCUUGAAACACGG